This 468-nucleotide ribosomal RNA is filed under the name uncultured bacterium. Its description in RNAcentral is "partial 16S ribosomal RNA". It matches the Rfam family "Bacterial small subunit ribosomal RNA", at positions 28 to 507 of the family's 1533-position model. The record is from RNAcentral.
GACGAACGCUGGCGGCGUGCUUAACACAUGCAAGUCGAACGGAAAGGCCCUGCCUUUGUGGGGUGCUCGAGGUGCGAACUGGGGAGUAACACGUGAGUAACCUGUCCUUGACUUUGGGAUAACUUCAUGAAACUGGGGCUAAUACCGGAUAGGAUCUCCUGCUGCAUGGUGGGGGCUGGAUAGUUUCGGCGGUUGGGGGUGGACUCGCGUCUUAUCAGCUUGUUGGUGGGGUAGUGGCUUACCAAGGCUUUGACGGGUAGCCGACCUGAGAGGGUAACCGGCCCAAUUGGGACUGAGAUAAGGCCCAGACUCGUACGGGAGGCAGGGGUGGGGAAUAGUGCACAAGGGGCGGAGGCCUGGUGUAGCAACGCCGCGUGCGGGAUGACGGCCUGCGGGUUGUAUACCGAUUUCGCCUGUGACGAAGCGUGAGUGACGGUAAUGGGUGAAGAAGCACCGGCUAACUACGUG